CCUACGGGAGGCAGCAGUGGGGAAUAUUGGGCAAUGGAGGAAACUCUGACCCAGCAACGCCGCGUGAAUGAUGAAGGUCUUCGGAUUGUAAAGCUCUUUUCUAAGGGAAGAAGAAAGUGACGCGUCCUUAGGAAACAGCCUCUACUAACUACGUACCAGCAGCCGCGGUAAUACGUAGGCGGCGAGCGUUAUCCGGAAUGACGGGGGGUAAAGGGGUCGUAGGUGGUUUUGCAAGUCAGUAGCGAAACUCCAAGGCUCAACCUUGGAACUUCUAUUGAAACUGUUGGCCUUGAGUGCAGGAGGGGCAACCGGAAUUCAUAGUGUAGCGGUGGAAUGCGUAGAUAUUAGGAGGAACACCAGUGGCGAAGGCGGGUUGCUGGACUGUAACUGACGCUGAGGCACGAAAGCGUGGGGAGCAAACAGGAUUAGAUACCCUAGUAGUC
RNAcentral lists this ribosomal RNA (443 nucleotides) under uncultured bacterium. Its description in RNAcentral is "partial 16S ribosomal RNA". It matches the Rfam family "Bacterial small subunit ribosomal RNA", at positions 338 to 795 of the family's 1533-position model. The record is from RNAcentral.